This 447-nucleotide ribosomal RNA is filed under the name uncultured bacterium. Its description in RNAcentral is "bacterial SSU rRNA". It matches the Rfam family "Bacterial small subunit ribosomal RNA", at positions 28 to 457 of the family's 1533-position model. The record is from RNAcentral.
GAUGAACGCUGGCGGCGUGCUUAACACAUGCAAGUCGAGCGAAGCACCUUGACGGAUUUUUUCGGAUUGAAGCCUUGGUGACUGAGCGGCGGACGGGUGAGUAACGCGUGGGUAACCUGCCUCAUACAGGGGGAUAACAGUUGGAAACGGCUGCUAAUACCGCAUAAGCGCACAGUACCGCAUGGUACGGUGUGAAAAGCUCCGGUGGUAUGAGAUGGACCCGCGUCUGAUUAGGUAGUUGGUGGGGUAACGGCCUACCAAGCCGACGAUCAGUAGCCGACCUGAGAGGGUGACCGGCCACAUUGGGACUGAGACACGGCCCAAACUCCUACGGGAGGCAGCAGUGGGGAAUAUUGCACAAUGGGGGAAACCCUGAUGCAGCGACGCCGCGUGAGCGAUGAAGUAUUUCGGUAUGUAAAGCUCUAUCAGCAGGGAAGAAAAUGACGG